AACACAUCCUCAAGCACUUGUGCUUGGUCCUGGAGGAAGAUGUCCGCAUCUCCUCUCAAAUCUCUCAGCGGAAAGUACUGCAGUCUCAGGUGUUAUAAGAUUAACUUUUGCUUGAUAACUGUUGGUAGAUUCUUGCUGUGAGGAGGCCCCCCAGCUAUUCUUUGAA
RNAcentral lists this unclassified non-coding RNA (166 nucleotides) under uncultured Sarcosomataceae. RNAcentral describes it as "sequence contains ITS2". The record is from RNAcentral. Lineage: Eukaryota; Fungi; Ascomycota; Pezizomycetes; Pezizales; Sarcosomataceae.